UAAGGUACGUGCUAAUCCCACAGGAAACUGUGCCCCUUUACGGAGACCCGAUAAGUCAAAGUAUGGGGGGGCCCUAUUUAUAGGGCUGGUAGGUUGGUUAUUUUCAGUGGGCAGUGCCGCCUGCGGGUGAAAAUGACCACCUAGAAAUGCUGUGAUGCCCUUAGAUGUUCUGGGCCGCACGCGCGUUACACUGACAGAGCCAGCGAGUUUCUUCCUUGGCAGAAAUGCCCGGGUAAUCUUGUGAAACUCU
RNAcentral lists this ribosomal RNA (250 nucleotides) under fungal sp. RNAcentral's name for it is "partial small subunit ribosomal RNA". It matches the Rfam family "Eukaryotic small subunit ribosomal RNA", at positions 1358 to 1563 of the family's 1831-position model. The record is from RNAcentral. Lineage: Eukaryota; Fungi.